Molecule: small RNA, 45 nt
Filed under: Arabidopsis thaliana (thale cress)
Lineage: Eukaryota; Viridiplantae; Streptophyta; Magnoliopsida; Brassicales; Brassicaceae
Description: ATSL247950
Source: RNAcentral
AACAGUGAUUGCCAGCUUCUUCUCUGCCUGCAAUGAGCCAGAGUU